RNAcentral lists this long non-coding RNA (338 nucleotides) under Anas platyrhynchos platyrhynchos (common mallard). RNAcentral describes it as "lncRNA (ENSAPLG00000025721.1)". The record is from RNAcentral. Lineage: Eukaryota; Metazoa; Chordata; Aves; Anseriformes; Anatidae.
CACUGAGAUGUUAUUCUGACACUCUUCGCUGGGUUCAUCUACUGCCGGUAAGUUGAUUAAUCAAAUUCCUAAAAUGCUAAAGUGCAAUACGACCCAAUUCUGCUAACGUAGCCUCUGCUCAAACCAAAUAAUUUAGUCCCUCACACAGGUACAUGGGUAGAAAAUAUUUUCAACAUAAAUCACAAAAUGAAAAAUAAGGAGAAAAAUAAGAAAAUGAAGGAAAGCGUCAUUAUUGGAAGUGGAGUCAUGAGAUGGCUUCUAGAACCCAGCCAGACCAAGCAGCACAGAGAUCAAACAUGGACACAUAAUAAUAAAGCUGGAAGAAAUUCAAGAACCCA